UACAGAGGGUGCGAGCGUUAAUCGGAAUUACUGGGCGUAAAGCGUGCGUAGACGGUUAUUUAAGUCGGGUGUGAAAGCCCCGGGCUCAACCUGGGAAUUGCAUUCGAGACUGAAUAGCUAGGGUACGGUAGAGGGAAGCGGAAUUUCCGGUGUAGCGGUGAAAUGCGUAGAUAUCGAGAGGAACACCUGCGGCGAAGGCGGGGUUGCUGGGCUGAUACUGACGCUGAGGCGCGAAAGCCAGGGGAGCGAACGGG
This 254-nucleotide ribosomal RNA is filed under the name uncultured bacterium. Its description in RNAcentral is "partial 16S ribosomal RNA". It matches the Rfam family "Bacterial small subunit ribosomal RNA", at positions 524 to 776 of the family's 1533-position model. The record is from RNAcentral.